GACGAACGCUGGCGGCGUGCUUAACACAUGCAAGUCGAACGGUAAGGCCCUUCGGGGUACACGAGUGGCGAACGGGUGAGUAACACGUGGGUGAUCUGCCCUGCACUUCGGGAUAAGCCUGGGAAACUGGGUCUAAUACCGGAUAGGACCACUGCCUGCAUGGGUGGUGGGGGAAAGCUUUUGCGGUGUGGGAUGGGCCCGCGGCCUAUCAGCUUGUUGGUGGGGUGAGGGCCUACCAAGGCGACGACGGGUCGCCGGCUUGAGAGGGUGACUGGCCACACUGGGACUGAGAUACGGCCCAGACUCCUACGGGAGGCAGCAGUGGGGAAUAUUGCACGAUGGGCGCAAGCCUGAUGCAGCGACGCCGCGUGAGGGAUGACGGCCUUCGGGUUGUAAACCUCUUUCAGCACCGACGAAGCGCAAGUGACGGUAGGUGCAGAAGAAGGACCGUCCAACUACGUGCCAGCCGCCGCCGUAA
RNAcentral lists this ribosomal RNA (478 nucleotides) under uncultured bacterium. RNAcentral's name for it is "partial 16S ribosomal RNA". It matches the Rfam family "Bacterial small subunit ribosomal RNA", at positions 28 to 523 of the family's 1533-position model. The record is from RNAcentral.